Molecule: ribosomal RNA, 324 nt
Filed under: Triticum aestivum (bread wheat)
Lineage: Eukaryota; Viridiplantae; Streptophyta; Magnoliopsida; Poales; Poaceae
Description: partial small subunit ribosomal RNA
Source: RNAcentral
AUGCCUAGUAUAAGAGCGGCCGCAGCGAGGUUCUCCCGGCCCGCGUGGUCAGCCGUUGGGGUAACAGUGAUGAGGAGGAUGCAGGGCAUCGGUGGUGGCCGCGCGCCACGCUACUUCAGCGACAGCAUCCGCUCCGGCAGGGUGCUCAGCGAGGAGGAACGCGCCGCUGAAAACGUCUACAUACAGAAGAUGGAGAGGGAGAAGCUGGAGAAGUUGAGGAGCAAGAAGGCGGAUCAGGAAAAGGCCGACGCAGCAAAGAGUGCCAAAGGAAACAACGAGGAAACAAUCCAAACAAACAAGGGUGAGGGAGCUCAUCCAAGCUGA